CGUAGGGUGCGAGCGUUAAUCGGAAUUACUGGGCGUAAAGCGUGCGCAGGCGGUUUUGUAAGACAGGCGUGAAAUCCCCGGGCUCAACCUGGGAACUGCGCUUGUGACUGCAAGGCUAGAGUACGGCAGAGGGGGGUGGAAUUCCACGUGUAGCAGUGAAAUGCGUAGAGAUGUGGAGGAACACCAAUGGCGAAGGCAGCCCCCUGGGUCGAUACUGACGCUCAUGCACGAAAGCGUGGGUAGCAAACAGGAUUAGAUACCCUGGUAGUCCACGCCCUAAACGAUGUCAACUAGGUGUUGGGUGGGUAGAACCAUUUAGUACCGGAGCUAACGCGUGAAGUUGACCGCCUGGGGAGUACGGCCGCAAGGUUA
This 372-nucleotide ribosomal RNA is filed under the name uncultured organism. RNAcentral describes it as "bacterial SSU rRNA". It matches the Rfam family "Bacterial small subunit ribosomal RNA", at positions 526 to 896 of the family's 1533-position model. The record is from RNAcentral.